UUUUAUCUGUUCUAGAUUAAUCUGGAAUUUUUGUGUUAUUAAUUGAAAGUUUUAUUCUUGCUUUUUUAUUUAUUUUGUUUUUACAUUAAAUACUAGUUUUGUUUACUAAAUGUUUCGUUUUGUAUUAAUUUAAUUUAAUUGAUCAAGUUAUUUUGGAAUUAGUAAUUGAUUAAGUAUUGACAAAAUUCGUGCCAGCAGUCGCGGUUAUACAAUAAAUGCUAAUAAAUAUUUUUGACUUUUCAGUUAAUUGGUUUUUGAAAAUUAAUUUAAUUAUAUUGGGUGAAAUUUUGUAAUUGUUUAAUUUUCUUAUUUUGAUUCUGUGAAGAUUAGAUUAUAAACUAGGAUUAGAUACCCUAUUAUUUUAAUUGUAAAAUUUUGUUAGGGUAGUAUCAGUUAAUUUCUUGAAACCUAAAGAAUUUGGCGGCAUUUUAUUCUAUUCAGAGGAACCUACUACGUAAUUGAUAAUACACGAUUUGUAAUACUUAGUUUUUGUUUGUAUAUCUCCGUUAUCAGAAGGUCUUUUUAGAGGUUAAUAAUCUUCUUGAUUUUUAAUUGAAUUUUAUUUCAGGUCAAGGUGCAGUAUAUGGCUAAGAGUGGGUGGGUUACAUUAGAUUUUAUUUUUAACAGUCUUUUUUAUGAAAAUAUUUAUUUAAGUUGGAUUUGACAGUAAUUUGUUUUACUUUUUACAUUUGAUAUUAGCUCUAUAAUGUUUACACAUCGCCCGUCACUCUCAUUAUUUUAUUUGUUUAUUAAUUUUAUUUAGGUGAGAUAAGUCGUAACAAAGUAGGUGUACUGGAAAGUGUACCUAGUAAGAAAUCA
This 819-nucleotide non-coding RNA is filed under the name Atractomorpha sinensis. The record is from RNAcentral. Lineage: Eukaryota; Metazoa; Arthropoda; Insecta; Orthoptera; Pyrgomorphidae.